AGAAAAUGUAUGAUGAUUCAGGAUGUGGUCAUUUGUGACAGUAAAACAGGAAUUGUCAUCACCAAUAGACGAAUUUCACAUUCCUAAGAGUUUCCUCCAAUUGUCGGCGUAUCGCUCAUUUUCCCCACUUUGUCCUUUGUCCUGUUCUGUGGAUGCCCUUAGACAGUGUCUACCCAUCACUCCAUCUGAAAUCACUCGUUCUGUGCAUAUUUCUCUCUCAAAC
Long non-coding RNA from Saccostrea cuccullata (small rock oyster), 223 nucleotides. RefSeq lists it as uncharacterized. NCBI's taxonomy places the organism in Eukaryota, Metazoa, Mollusca, Bivalvia, Ostreida, Ostreidae. The record is from RefSeq and is a predicted model, not a curated record. The transcript is spliced from 3 exons.